GGUAAAAUGGCUGAGUUUAGGCAAUAAUCUGUAAAUUUAUUAACGAAAUUAAUUUUCUUUUACCA
Molecule: transfer RNA, 65 nt
Filed under: Scraptia sp. SCR02
Lineage: Eukaryota; Metazoa; Arthropoda; Insecta; Coleoptera; Scraptiidae
Description: tRNA-Tyr
Source: RNAcentral